Molecule: ribosomal RNA, 157 nt
Filed under: Beauveria brongniartii
Lineage: Eukaryota; Fungi; Ascomycota; Sordariomycetes; Hypocreales; Cordycipitaceae
Description: 5.8S ribosomal RNA
Rfam family: 5.8S ribosomal RNA
About the family: 5.8S ribosomal RNA (5.8S rRNA) is a component of the large subunit of the eukaryotic ribosome. It is transcribed by RNA polymerase I as part of the 45S precursor that also contains 18S and 28S rRNA.
Source: RNAcentral
AAACUUUCAACAACGGAUCUCUUGGCUCUGGCAUCGAUGAAGAACGCAGCGAAAUGCGAUACGUAAUGUGAAUUGCAGAAUCCAGUGAAUCAUCGAAUCUUUGAACGCACAUUGCGCCCGCCAGUAUUCUGGCGGGCAUGCCUGUUCGAGCGUCAUU